GGCUUUGUGGCCCAGUGGUUAAGGCAUCCCGCUCGUACUAACCAGUGCUAACGGGGGGGUCCCGCGUUCAAAUCGCGGCAGAGCCA
Molecule: transfer RNA, 86 nt
Organism: Penicillium italicum
Lineage: Eukaryota; Fungi; Ascomycota; Eurotiomycetes; Eurotiales; Aspergillaceae
Rfam family: tRNA
About the family: Transfer RNA (tRNA) molecules are approximately 80 nucleotides in length. Their secondary structure includes four short double-helical elements and three loops (D, anti-codon, and T loops).
Source: Rfam